RNAcentral lists this ribosomal RNA (499 nucleotides) under uncultured bacterium. Its description in RNAcentral is "partial 16S ribosomal RNA". It matches the Rfam family "Bacterial small subunit ribosomal RNA", at positions 29 to 507 of the family's 1533-position model. The record is from RNAcentral.
ACGAACGCUGGCGGCGUGCUUAACACCUGCAAGUCGAACGGGUCUGCCCUGUUUUUUGCGGGGUGGGUCAGUGGCGAACGGGUGAGUAACACGUGAGUAACCUGCCCCUCACUUCUGGAUAACCGCUUGAAAGGGUGGCUAAUACGGGGUGUUCUGGCUGUGCCGCAUGGUGUGGCUGGGAAAGAUUCACUUUUGUGGUGUUUUGGUGGGGGAUGGGCUCGCGGCCUAUCAGCUUGUUGGUGGGGUGAUGGCCUGCCAAGGCUUUGACGGGUAGCCGGCCUGAGAGGGUGGGCGGUCACACUGGGACUGAGAUACGGCCCAGACUCCUGCGGGAGGCAGCAGUGGGGGGUAUUGCACAAUGGGCGGAAGCCUGAUGCAGCGACGUCGCGUGAGGGAUGGAGGCCUUCGGGUUGUGAACCUCUUUCGCCGGUGAAGAAGGUCCUGCUCUUUGGGGUGGGGUUGACGGUAGCCGGGUUAUGAAGCGCCGGCUAACUACGUG